This 1742-nucleotide long non-coding RNA is filed under the name Pan paniscus (pygmy chimpanzee). RNAcentral describes it as "lncRNA (ENSPPAG00000045248.1)". The record is from RNAcentral. Lineage: Eukaryota; Metazoa; Chordata; Mammalia; Primates; Hominidae.
UAUUUCUGCCUGUCGCUUAUUAUCUGGUUGAGCUGGUGGCGGGAGUCCCGGCCCAUGUGUGUUACCAGAGGGAUGGUCUAGAGGAUGAAUCCAUCUGUCAGAGGCAUCCAAGAAGAAAGGCCUGGGCCAGGAUCACAUGGAAGACCCUGAAGACAGGAUCGAGUCUUACCUGCCUGGAUUGAACAGGGAUGCAGUGACCAGUCCCAUCUGCUCCCACCCUGCUGCCCUCUGAAUCGAGAGUUUGAGGCCAUGACCAGGGUAACGUUCAGCUGGUAGAGACAACACAACCCUGCUGGCUGUUUAAGCCAUGCUGGAAUGGUGCUCACAGGGUAACAAUUCUGAGUGAUGAACAGAAGCAGCACUUGAGCCAGACUCUGACCAAGAACUACGGGCAGGCUAGAGCCACACAGAUCCCCGCCUCAGUAGACCGGCUGCAGCAGGAGGUACACCAUGCCCUAUGGCCUUGAAGGCCAAGCAGACACAGGUUCAAAUCCUCACUCUCUUCUUUCCUGUCUGUGUGGCCCUGGGCAAGUUACUUACCCUCUCUGAGCCUCGGCUGCCACAUCCCUAAAAUGAAGCCUCUUUAGGGUAUGUGAGCAUUAAAUUCGGUCACACCUGUAAAGUCCCUACCACCGUGAGAAGUGCCUGCUGAAGCCUGGUUCCUCUCCCUCCCUCUCCUUGACUCCCUCCUCCAAACCCACCCCUGCUGUCUUCCCGUUCUGGGUCCUGGUGGGCAGGAAGCUGGCAGUACCAGGAGAACUCCAUCUCCUGCCAGGAUCUGGGCCAGGAAGCCUCUCUCCGGGUUUCUUCUGUCUGUGAGGCUGCCUUCCUUCUUCCCUGGGGAGCGGGGAGCUGAAGCCCCAUAAGAGGGAGCGCUACCCGACGGGGGUAUUUCAGCUAAGCCACCAACAGAACUCUCCAGUUGUGAGCCAGCAGGCAGGAUGCUGAGGGACAGAAAGGUGGUCUCCUUUCCAAGAAAAGAUGCGGCAGAUCCCUCCAGCGAGGCCCACCAUCCUGCCAGACAUAGGGGGCGGGCAGUGGACCUCAGAGCUGUGCUGUCCAAUACGGCAGCCACCGCCCACAUGUGGCUAUUUACAGUUAAAUUAAACAAAAUCCAGUUCCUUGCUCACACCAACCACAUUUCAGGCGCUCAGGAGCCCCAGAUGGUGAGUGAACGCCGAGCUGGGCAGCACAGAUGCAGGACGCUGCCUCCAUCGCAGAAAGUUCUCCUGGACGCCACUGUUCCAGAUCCUGAUGGUUCAAGUGCUACGGAUGCAAUAGCUCAGCGACUGGCAGCGCAGCACGUACCUGCUGUCGUGGGAGGUGAGAGCAGCCAGUGCCCGACAGCGGCUGCAAGGCAGUGGUGGCACUCUGCAGCCAGCCGGCCCACCCCUCCAACAUCUGCAAGGGGGUGGGAGGCUGCCUCACCAAGCUACCUGCUACUCAUGGGGGCGAUGGGCAUCAGGGUGGCCUGCCUGGAGCUUCCCUUUGCAACCAAGGCUGAUUCCCACAGUCAGUCUCUCCCCCAGAGAACACGAAGGAAGAUGCCUGAGGGACAACAUGAACUUGUCAGGAACAGGGGCCUGGGAGGAGUGCGGAUGUGGGCUCAGGUACGCGCAUGCACCUUGAGUGUGUGCAUGUGGGGGUCAGUGUGCAAGCCUGCCGUGGUGUGUGUGGGUCCGUGGGGGUCCCCAUGUUCCCGGGUCUAUGUGGGUGGGGUGGUAUGCACUAUGUGUGUUUAG